Molecule: long non-coding RNA, 607 nt
Organism: Strongylocentrotus purpuratus (purple sea urchin)
Lineage: Eukaryota; Metazoa; Echinodermata; Echinoidea; Camarodonta; Strongylocentrotidae
Exons: 2
Source: RefSeq, a predicted model, not a curated record
UACACAUGUUUCUCCUAUUGUGCUCGCUAUAGAAUAUAGGCGGUUAGUACGAAUCUGCAGACGACAAACUCUUGGACAACAGAAUUUUAUAUUUAUUCUUCUCUGUGAAGUGCAUUUCCUUACUGUCUUUGGAGAGAAGAUCAUAUACCGGAUCAGAGGGCUGCAACGAUCCUGCAUCUGAUCAUCCACACCGGCCUCUGGACACCAGGAUCCCUCCCCCGUGCCCUGGGCCCCUAAUGGGUGCACAGAGUGGAGUGAUCAUUGUCAAUUACACACCGGAGACCACUAGCUAGGUAGGGCAAGGCGGGACCGUCGUACUCCCUACGGUAAGUGGAUUUAUCGGAUUGUCAUAUUGUCGUUUAUUGAUCAUAUCUCCACACCACUCAUCAGAUCCUUGUAGUGAGUGACUGAUGAUGCAGUAUUCAUCAUGGAGAGUAUAGUAAGGUAUCAUUAAGAUAUCUCUUAAGUGCCCCUACUUUAAUAAGCGUUAUUGUCCCUUGUCUUUAUUUAAGGGAACCACUUGUAAUUGCUUUUGCUUUAGUUUUUAAGGUUCCAUGCCUCAAUUCAAUUAAAUUCAUUUCAUUUUAUUUCCAAUUCUCGCAAAAAA